AAAAAGAGGAGGGAAAAAGAAAGAGCAGAAAGUAGAACAUGUGAAGGAAAAGGGCAGCAAAGAAAGAGGAAAUGCAGAGAAAGGAGAAACAAGUGCUGGAAGUAAAGGAGUAGAUGGUGGGGGAGGAGGCAGCACAAAGAGAUCCGACGUACAGGGCUUUUAGGAAGAGCAAUGAACAUGUAUCAGAAGAGAAAAUCAGCUGCUGCUUGGGAAGCAACCGGGAAGUUUGCUCCUUCCUCACAAGACUGAGGGUGUAAUUAGAACCACGCACCUGCUCAGUCCUCCGGUGACUCAAGCCUGGAAUCUCCUGUGUUAGAACACUUCACUGCUCCCAGAAGGCCCUGUAAGAUCCCAGGGAGGCAGCAGCCAACAGAGGAUAUUCACUAAAGACCAAGCAGCAGAGCAGCACUUUGGUACUCCCUGAAGACAGCAGAAAUGAGAGGAAAUGUCCACUAAGAAUAAGUCUCCCGUGAAAUGUUACAUGUACUCGGCAAACUCCUGAACCCACUGCUGCCACGGAAAACUCUUGCUGAUGGGUAGCUCCGAGAACUCACUCUCCAAUUAUGUACCACAGAGCUAUGGAUGUGUUUUUAUUGAGGAGAAUAAAAACCACAAGAAGUGCUCUACAACAGACCACAAAAUGGGUUUGGCACCUGUGUCUGCUCGGAGCCGAAGUUUCGGAGUUGUGUUAUCACGUGGCCCGCUGACCUCAGGAGAGCAGGGCUGACCUUGUCUUACACACAGAAGUCUAUUGCUAUGACUCCCCUGAGAGCACAA
This is a long non-coding RNA of Chiroxiphia lanceolata (lance-tailed manakin), 777 nucleotides long. RefSeq lists it as uncharacterized. NCBI's taxonomy places the organism in Eukaryota, Metazoa, Chordata, Aves, Passeriformes, Pipridae. The transcript has 5 exons. The record is from RefSeq and is a predicted model, not a curated record.